AGUAAUACUUUAAAAUCUAAUAAGAAGGAAAAUUUAAAGAAAAAAAGUAAAAAGGAAAGUUUGAAGACGAAUAAGAAAAGAAAGCACGAAACACCGGAAAUUAAAAAGUCUAAAAAACGUUCUCAGAAGAAUCUUUCUAGUCCUGGAAGGAAACGGAAAAAAAGUGAUUUUACUUCUCCUCCUCAAGUUUUUUCUUUAAAUAAACGUAAUAAAGUUUUUGAGGAUGAUUCAGUUAUAAAGUCGAGAUCGAUUAAAGAACACGAAAAAAAUUUACUUAAAACUUUUAGACAAAAAGAAGCUACGAGACAACCUUUAUCAACAAAUUCGAAGCUUGAAAAUUCCAUUUUUAAACAACUUACAAAAAAUCAAAGGAAAAAAUUUAAUCAAAAAAAAAAGCAGCAGUUGCAACAAGAUUUAGAAAUUGAAAAAUUUAUGAAAACAGAAAUGGAAAGAAAUAAAUUCGUACAAGAUACUGUGAAAUUUUCAAACAUUGUUUCGGAAGAAAUAAAUACAUCGUAUUGCUCUAAAGAGCUUCCAGAGAAGCCACUUUCAAAUAAUGAAGUGUUAAAGUUAAGUGCAGAGAAAGAUGAACAAACUAAUCAAAGUUUUAUAUACGUUUGUCCUCCAGUAAGUUAUGAAAGUUAUCCUAAAUUUAUUGGUUUUCCGAGGAAAGGUGAACGCAUCGCCUUUAAACUACUAGAACUCGCGCUGGAUUAUACUCCACAGCUGUCGACUUUCAAAGAGGGAACCGUAGAAGAUUUUGAUUCAACAAAAAAAAAAGUUUCAAUAAGACUUGAAGAACAUUCGAUUAACAGAAUUGAUCGAUCUGGAGGACGUUUUGAAUUGGAAGAUGAAGAUGAAGAUGAGGAAAAUCUUGAUCUGAUUAAAAUCGAAUGGGAUUCACUUCAAGAUGUCCGAAAGUUAUCAUAACGUGAAA
This is a long non-coding RNA of Zophobas morio, 937 nucleotides long. RefSeq lists it as uncharacterized. The transcript has 3 exons. The record is from RefSeq and is a predicted model, not a curated record. Lineage: Eukaryota; Metazoa; Arthropoda; Insecta; Coleoptera; Tenebrionidae.